ACUAAAGAUUUUUUCUUUUCUCGAUUAGCUGUUAUAUAAUGUAUAAUAAAGUACUUCAAAAUAGUGAUAUUUGCACAAUUUUUUAUCUCUCCUGUAAAGUUGUCAAAAUGUCAAUACGUUUGUUUGGCUUUUAUGGGAUGUUAUAGUAGCGAAUAUAGAACGUCUGUCCAAACCUGAUAUGUCCAAAGUUCACAUUACAGAUGAAGUAAUAACUUGAUAAGUAGACAUACCCAGGCACGCCUCUGAACAAAUAGUUCAAAAUAACAAAUUUUUAAGAUGUCAAGAUUUGAUAUGUCAACGUUUCUAAUUUUUCCACUUUUAAACAUCGGCUUAUUUUUGUCUAUUAAAGAAAGAAUAACUUGAUAUGUUGAUAUAUCAUGUUAUGCCUUCUUUAAAAAUAUCCUCUAUUCUAUAAUGAAUUUAUACCGAAACUGCUAUGUCAACAUAUCACGUUUUGCUGUCUUAGAAAAGAUAAAUAAACUGGAGUAACGCCAAUAGGCAAACUGUGAUAUAUUGUCAUAUCGUGUUUUACCAACCUGCAAUAUUGAGGUUUUUUGAGGUUAGGUAUGUGUAAUAUCAUUUGCAGUUGUGUCUUUUAGUUGAAAACAAAGUGUUUUAUGUACCAACAAUGCCUUAUCCUUGUACUACGUGUAAUAAAAUAUGUAACACUCGAAGUGAACUGUUUGGACAAUUUGGAACAUGUGUAGAUAAUCUCCUACAGUGUGAUUUACGUGAUUCCAUUGAACGUGAGGUUACAGUUACUAAUAAUGACUGUUCGUUUAAUGAACAAAUUUCACCUGCUACUAUAGCAUCUGUUCCUGAUGUUUCAUUGAUGUGUAAACUUUCAACUAGUAGCAUAACCGUAACAUGUGAACCCCGAGGAAAUAUUACAAUUUUAUAAUCUGUAGUCUCAUUAGUGUAAUAUAGACUUAAUUUCGCUAAAACUAAUAAAAAAGUUAAUCAAAACUAACAUUGUUGUAUCGUUGUAAGACAGUUUCGAUGAAAACAGUGAUGAAUCUCAGAUGCAGACCCACAAUGGACUCCAUCGCUUGAAAACCAUUCUAGGAAAAGAAAGCUAUUUUAUCAGCAGGAAACGACACGAUCGGAAGUGAUACUGAAGAUGAAGCUGUGAUUGAUAAUGAAUUUGAUAUAGCUAGCAGUAAGCAAAUGAUCAGCAUCAAAGUAGCAAAAAGAAAGUACGUAAAACCACAAUAACUAAGUCUGCUCCUUCUAAACCCAAGCGUUGGUAACGUUGCUAAAAUUGCACCAGUAAAUAAAAUUAACCCUAGAAAGUGCCCUUGGAUGACACAUAAUAUCAAACAGAUACAACAAAAGAAAGAUAGAGCCUACAAAAAUUUUGAUUUACAAAACUAAACACAGACUGGGAAUGCUAUAAAAAAAUAUAGAAAUGAAGUUGUGUCAACGAUUAGAAAAAACAAAACACGACAUUAUGAACAAAAUAUUGACAACUGUAAAGGGGAGAGCAAAAGGUUGUGGAGAACGCUGAAGGUAUUAACUGGAACAAAGAAACAAUCUACUGAUUCCAUGGAAAUAGAUUUUGAGCAGUACAACAGCUCUGUAGAGGAAAACUUCAAUGAAUUCUUUUCAGACUCGUUGCAUGAAGUUUCAGAGAGUAUAGAGUAUGAAAAUUGGGAAGGCCAAGAUUCUAAUACCGAAACAAACUUUUCCCAUUUUUAGACCAUAAAUUUGUCUCAGUUAAGAAAAUUUAUAUAUGCCUUAAAAAAUAAAGGUUCGAGCGAUGGCAGCUUAAAUAUUCAACUAGUAAAGUAAUUAUUCUGUGUAAUUGGAUAUCCCCUUCUGUACUUGAUUAAUGCCUAAAUCACCACCGGAAAAAUACCACGUGACCUAAAAACUAAUGUGAUAACACCUAUCCCAAAAAUAAAUAAACUAAAGAAACCUUCAGAGUUUAGGCCUAUUAAUCUUUUACCAGAUGUAAAUAAGAUUAUUGAAACCAUCAUCUGUAAUCAACUUAGGGAGUACUUCGAAAAAAGUAACUUAUUGUUUAUGGGUCGGGCUUUAGAAGUCAGCAUUCCUGUGAGUCAGCGAUUCAGUACGUGUGUGCAAAUUGGCGAGAAAAAAUAAACAUUGUCGAAUUCUUAUAAGAAAACUGGAACACUAUGGUGUGAAUAAAUGUGGUUUAAGUUGGAUUAAUAACUAUUUAGAAAACAGAUUUCAUAAAACAACAAUAUCAGGCAGGGUAAGAAAAGUGUGCUGGGUGUACCCCAGGGAAGUGUCCUGGGACCACUUUUGUUUAUAAUAUAUAUUAAUGAUCUUCAUAUGACUUUAAAAAAUUGUUUCAUUAAUUUAUUUGCUGAUGAUAUCCUUCAACUCUUCAAAAACAAAAUGUAUGGUGGUGGACUCGGCUAUAAAUUGUAAAAAAUUUUAUAAUCUAAAUUUUUCUUUAUCCAUAAACAGUGUGCCUAUAGAAUUUGUAAACGAAAUUAAAUAUUUGGGUGUCAUUUUAGAUCCACAAUUAAAUUUUUCAAUUCA
This is a long non-coding RNA of Diorhabda sublineata, 2511 nucleotides long. RefSeq lists it as uncharacterized. NCBI's taxonomy places the organism in Eukaryota, Metazoa, Arthropoda, Insecta, Coleoptera, Chrysomelidae. The record is from RefSeq and is a predicted model, not a curated record. The transcript has 2 exons.